This 854-nucleotide ribosomal RNA is filed under the name uncultured bacterium. RNAcentral's name for it is "bacterial SSU rRNA". It matches the Rfam family "Bacterial small subunit ribosomal RNA", at positions 229 to 1088 of the family's 1533-position model. The record is from RNAcentral.
GCCCGCNUCCCAUCANCUNGUUGGUGGGGUAAAGGCCCACCAAGGCGACGACGGNUAACCGUUCUGAGAGGAUGCCCGGCCACAGGGGCACUGAGACACGGCCCCCACUCCUACGGGAGGCAGCAGUUAGGAAUCUUCCGCAAUGGACGGAAGUCUGACGGAGCGACGCCGCUUGGAGGAGGAAGCCCUUCGGGGUGUAAACUCCUGAACCCGGGACGAAAGCCCUGAUGAGGGGGAUGACGGUACUGGGGUAAUAGCGCCGGCCAACUCCGUGCCAGCAGCCGCGGUAAUACGGAGGGCGCGAGCGUUACCCGGAUUUACUGGGCGUAAAGGGCGUGUAGGCGGUUUGGGGCGUCCCAUGUGGAAGGCCACGGCUCAACCGUGGGGGAGCGUGGGAUACGCUCAAGCUAGAGGGUGGGAGGGGGUGGUGGAAUUCCCGGAGUAGCGGUGAAAUGCGCAGAUACCGGGAGGAACGCCGAUGGCGAAGGCAGCCAUCUGGCCCAUUUCUGACGCUGAGGCGCGAAAGCGUGGGGAGCGAACCGGAUUAGAUACCCGGGUAGUCCACGCCCUAAACGAUGCGCGCUAGGUCUCUGGUGUGUGNCUGGGGGCCGAAGCCAACGCGAUAAGCGCGCCGCCUGGGGAGUACGGCCGCAAGGCUGAAACUCAAAGGAAUUGACGGGGGCCCGCACAAGCGGUGGAGCAUGUGGUUUAAUUCGAAGCAACGCGAANAACCUUACCAGGCCUUGACAUGCUGGGGAACCUANGUGAGAGCCUGGNGUGCCCUNUGAGGGAGCCCUAACACANGUGNUGCAUGGCCGUCNUCACUCNUGUCNUNAGAUUUUGGGUUAANUCCC